CAAGCACUUCGCUCUAAUGCUAAGUUAGUUCUAGCUAUUAAACUUCAUAUGGUAACUUUCGUUUAUUGUGAAUAACUCACGGUUUAAGUAUAACCAUUAAAUAUGAUUACUAUCAACCUAAAGAAAUAGGACUUACAUUCACCCUAAAGGCCAUGCCCACAACACCAAUGACUUAUAUUAUCCAAGUUAGGAAACUAAGCUAUAGAAAUAGCCAACAAAAGUGAUUAAAAGUGGUGCCAGCAGUCGCGGUUAGACCCCUACUUUAAAUUAACUGCUACAAAUAUACAAGAGUCAAACUAAUCCCGUUAAGAUCAUAAUCACAAAGAUAUAGGUAAAAUUUCUACCUUAAGUUUACACCCAAACAGACCUAAUAAACAUGUCUCAACAAACCACACUCACGAAACAGGGAUUAGAUACCCCAUUAUCGAGUGGCCCAACCGACAAAACACUAAAAAUGAAAAUUUAAAAAUUAAAGAGCGUGGCGGUGUUUCACACCCUAUUAGGGGAUCCUGUGGCUUAAUUCGAUAACCCACGAAUAUCAAAGCUUUAUUAGUUACACAGCUUGUGUAUGGCCGUUAAUGUCUCCGCACGUAAAGCAUUAAAAGAAGACAUUAGAGUCCUACUCGAACUCAAUAAAACAGGUGACACACAGCCUAUAUAAAGCGGCUCAUGGGAUACAGAAAAUUACUAUUUCUCCCAAGUAGAUUGACAUCUCUACAAUAAGGAAGGACUUAAAAGUAAGACCACAACACUAUUAUGGCCUGAACAAGAUAUGAAACGCGUACAAAUCGCCCGUCACUCCUAUUACUAACCCAGGAUAAGUCGUAACACAGUAGGGGUAACGGAAGUUGCCCCUAAACCUUC
Molecule: non-coding RNA, 864 nt
Filed under: Potamilus alatus
Lineage: Eukaryota; Metazoa; Mollusca; Bivalvia; Unionida; Unionidae
Source: RNAcentral